AUCAGAUUAUUUUUCUUUAUGAUAUCAGAUGCAUGUUCUUUUAUUUUCAUCAUGUGAACUAGAUCCGUAGGUGUUAGAUUAGAUCUACGCAUGCGUAGAUUAAAAAUAGCUUUAAUCUAUCUUUCGUUGUAUGUUCAAAAUAAUUUUUAAAAAUUCUGCAUGCAUAACACCUUGAAACCCAACAGGGCCUUCAUUUGCUUCCUAAGCUCAUAGAAGGAAGCACACUAUAGCAUAACAUAGAGAAGUAUUUUUGCUUAGUCUCGCAUUCAUCGGUAACCGACUGGCC
This 286-nucleotide long non-coding RNA is filed under the name Elaeis guineensis (African oil palm). Its description in RNAcentral is "long non-coding RNA (EGUI_LNC003793)". The record is from RNAcentral. Lineage: Eukaryota; Viridiplantae; Streptophyta; Magnoliopsida; Arecales; Arecaceae.